RNAcentral lists this ribosomal RNA (253 nucleotides) under uncultured bacterium. RNAcentral describes it as "partial 16S ribosomal RNA". It matches the Rfam family "Bacterial small subunit ribosomal RNA", at positions 524 to 776 of the family's 1533-position model. The record is from RNAcentral.
UACGUAGGGUGCAAGCGUUAAUCGGAAUUGCUGGGCGUAAAGCGCGCGUAGGUGGUUCGUUAAGUUGGAUGUGAAAUCCCCGGGCUCAACCCGGGAACUGCAUUCAAAACUGGCGAGCUAGAGUACGGUAGAGGGUGGCGGAAUUUCCUGUGUAGCGGUGAAAUGCGUAGAUAUAGGAAGGAACACCAGUGGCGAAGGCGGCCACCUGGACUGAUACUGACACUGAGGUGCGAAAGCGUGGGGAGCAAACAGG